Molecule: ribosomal RNA, 485 nt
Filed under: uncultured bacterium
Lineage: Bacteria
Description: bacterial SSU rRNA
Rfam family: Bacterial small subunit ribosomal RNA
Source: RNAcentral
GAUGACGCUAGCGGGAGGCUUAACACAUGCAAGUCGAGGGGCAUCACGAGGUAGCAAUACUUUGGUGGCGACCGGCGCACGGGUGAGUAACACGUAUGCAACCUACCCUGUACAGGGGGAUAACCCGGAGAAAUUCGGACUAAUAUCCCAUACAAUUAUUGGAGGGCAUCCUUUGAUAAUUAAAGCUCAGGCGGUAUAGGAUGGGCAUGCGGAACAUUAGCUAGUUGGUAGGGUAACGGCCUACCAAGGCUACGAUGUUUAGGGGACCUGAGAGGGUUAUCCCCCACACUGGUACUGAGACACGGACCAGACUCCUACGGGAGGCAGCAGUGAGGAAUAUUGGUCAAUGGGCGCAAGCCUGAACCAGCCAUCCCGCGUGAAGGAAGAAGGCCCUAUGGGUUGUAAACUUCUUUUCCAGGGGGUGAAUAAUUCCGAUGUAUCGGGAGAUGACGGUACCCUGGGAAUAAGCAUCGGCUAACUCCGUG